GUGGCGCACGGGUGCGUAACACGUAGAUAACCUGCCCUUUGGAGGGGGAUAACGUUCCGAAAGGAGCGCUAAUACCGCAUAAAGCAUUCUGGGGUUUGCUCUGGGAUGGCAAAGGUGGGGACCCGCAAGGGCCUAUCGCCGAAGGAGGGGUCUGCGGCCCAUCAGCUAGUUGGUGAGGUAAUGGCUCACCAAGGCAGAGACGGGUAGCUGGUCUGAGAGGAUGAUCAGCCACACUGGUACUGGAACACGGACCAGACUCCUACGGGAGGCAGCAGUGGGGAAUCUUGGUCAAUGGGCGAAAGCCUGAACCAGCGACGCCGCGUGAGUGAUGAAGGCCUUAGGGUUGUAAAGCUCUUUUACCCGGGAUGAUAAUGACAGUACCGGGAGAAUAAGCUCCGGCUAACUCCGUGCCAGCAGCCGCGGUAAU
This 427-nucleotide ribosomal RNA is filed under the name uncultured bacterium. RNAcentral's name for it is "bacterial SSU rRNA". It matches the Rfam family "Bacterial small subunit ribosomal RNA", at positions 95 to 524 of the family's 1533-position model. The record is from RNAcentral.